RNAcentral lists this transfer RNA (64 nucleotides) under Tenebrionoidea sp. 11 KM-2017. RNAcentral's name for it is "tRNA-Asp". The record is from RNAcentral. Lineage: Eukaryota; Metazoa; Arthropoda; Insecta; Coleoptera.
GAAAAUUUAGUUAAAAAAUAACAUCAGAUUGUCAAGCUGAAAUUAAUAUUAAAAUUAAUUUUUA